AACGCACCUUGCGCUCCUUGGUAUUCCGAGGAGCAUGCCUGUUUGAGUGUCAUUAAGCUUCUCAACCAUAUCUAUUGCUGGAUGUGGCUUGGAUUUUGGGGGUUUUUUUUUGCAGGCUUCAAAAGAAAGUCGGCUCCUCUGAAAAGCAUUAGUGGUAUUAGAGUACCUUUGGUGUGAUAACUAUCUAUGCCAUUGUGUAUAUGACUACAUACUGCUUCUGAACUUGCGUUUUGCGCAGUUGACAAAUUUGACCUCAAAUCAGGUAGGAUUACCCGCUGAACUUAA
Molecule: unclassified non-coding RNA, 285 nt
Filed under: uncultured fungus
Lineage: Eukaryota; Fungi
Description: partial contains 5.8S ribosomal RNA, internal transcribed spacer 2, and large subunit ribosomal RNA
Rfam family: 5.8S ribosomal RNA (bases 1-52)
Source: RNAcentral